ACUCCUGUAGCUCAGUGGUAGAGCGUCCGUCCGACCGGUGUGCAGAAGGUCGUUGGUUCGACUCCUGUUGGGAGAA
Molecule: non-coding RNA, 76 nt
Organism: Desmophyllum pertusum
Lineage: Eukaryota; Metazoa; Cnidaria; Anthozoa; Scleractinia; Caryophylliidae
Source: the annotation of a GenBank genome assembly